AUACGGAGGUUGCGAGCGUUAAUCGGAAUUACUGGGCGUAAAGCGUACGUAGGCGGUUGGUUAAGUUAGAUGUGAAAGCCCCGGGCUUAACCUGGGAACUGCAUUUAAAACUGGCGAACUAGAGUUGAGUAGAGGGGAGUGGAAUUUCAGGUGUAGCGGUGAAAUGCGUAGAGAUCUGAAGGAACACCAGUGGCGAAGGCGACUCCCUGGACUCGAACUGACGCUGAGGUACGAAAGCGUGGGUAGCAAACGGGAUUAGAAACCCUAGUAGUCC
RNAcentral lists this ribosomal RNA (274 nucleotides) under uncultured bacterium. RNAcentral describes it as "partial 16S ribosomal RNA". It matches the Rfam family "Bacterial small subunit ribosomal RNA", at positions 523 to 796 of the family's 1533-position model. The record is from RNAcentral.